This 453-nucleotide ribosomal RNA is filed under the name uncultured bacterium. RNAcentral's name for it is "bacterial SSU rRNA". It matches the Rfam family "Bacterial small subunit ribosomal RNA", at positions 349 to 793 of the family's 1533-position model. The record is from RNAcentral.
CAGCAGUGGGGAAUAUUGCACAAUGGGCGCAAGCCUGAUGCAGCCAUGCCGCGUGUAUGAAGAAGGCCUUCGGGUUGUAAAGUACUUUCAGCAGUGAGGAAGGUGGGUAUGUUAAUAGCAUACUCAUUUGACGUUAGCUGCAGAAGAAGCACCGGCUAACUCCGUGCCAGCAGCCGCGGUAAUACGGAGGGUGCGAGCGUUAAUCGGAAUUACUGGGCGUAAAAGCGCAUGCAGGUGGUUUGUUAAGUCAGAUGUGAAAGCCCGGGGCUCAACCUCGGAAUUUGCAUUUGAAACUGGCAAACUAGAGUACUGUAGAGGGGGUAGAAUUUCAGGUGUAGCGGUGAAAUGCGUAGAGAUCUGAAGGAAUACCGGUGGCGAAGGCGGCCCCCUGGACAGAUACUGACACUCAGAUGCGAAAGCGUGGGGAGCAAACAGGAUUAGAUACCCUGGUAG